GGGGAGUACGGUCGCAAGACCGAAACUCAAAGGAAUUGACGGGGCCCUGCACCAGCGGUGGAGCAUGUGGUUUAAUUUGAUACAACAUGCAAAACCUUACCAGCCCUUGACAUAUGAACAACAAAACCUGUCCUUAACAGGAUGGUACUGACUUUCAUACAGGUGUUGCAUGGCUGUCGUCAGCUCGUGUCAUGAGAUGUUUGGUCAAGUCCUAUAACGAGCGAAACCCUCGUUUUGUGUUGCUGAGACAUGCGCCUAAGGAGAAAUUGCCACCGAGUGACGUGCCAGCCCUACUACUUGAUUGAGUGCCAGCACGUAGCUGUGCUUUCAGCAAGAAUUUCACCAUUAGGAGCCGGUGCCUUCCGAAGCACUUUCACGUGUGAAACGAAGUCGUCUUGCCCAAGACCCACGGAGACCUACCUAUAGUGACGUCAAAGUACCAGUGAGCAUGGAGAUUUGGUUGAAAUUUGUUACGACGACGUCGACUUGGCGGCGGAGGAAGACUCGUCAUGAAGGCCAGAAAAUGGUGUGGAACGUAGUGGUAAUACUAUGCACCCCGCUCCGAAUCAAAGAAAAAAGUGCGUGCCGCACUCAAGAGGGACUGCCAGUGAGAUACUGGAGGAAGGUGGGGAUGACGUCAAGUCCGCAUGGCCCUUAUGGGCUGGGCCACACACGUGCUACAAUGGCAAUGAUAAUGGGAAGCAAGGCUGUAAGGCGGAGCGAAUCCAGAAAGAUUGCCUCAGUUCGGAUUGUUCUCUGCAACUCGGGAACAUGAAGUUGAAAUUGCUAGUAAUCGCGGAUCAGCAUGCCACGGUGAAUAUGUACCCGGGCCCUACACACACCGCUCGUCACACCCUGGGAAUUGGUUUCGCCCGAAGCAUCGGACCAAUGAGCACCCAUGACUUCUGUGUACCACUAGUGCCACAAAGGCCUUUGGUGGUCUUAUUGGCACGGUGGGGUCUUCGACUGGGGUGAAGUCGUAACAAGGUAGCCAUAGGGGAACCUGUGGCUG
RNAcentral lists this ribosomal RNA (1012 nucleotides) under Triticum aestivum (bread wheat). RNAcentral describes it as "rRNA SSU_rRNA_eukarya". It matches the Rfam family "Bacterial small subunit ribosomal RNA", at positions 875 to 1520 of the family's 1533-position model. Lineage: Eukaryota; Viridiplantae; Streptophyta; Magnoliopsida; Poales; Poaceae. The record is from RNAcentral.